GCGGGAGUAACUCAGUUGGUAGAGUGACAGCCUUCCAAGCUGUAUGUCGCGAGUUCGAAUCUCGUCUCCCGCUCCA
Molecule: transfer RNA, 76 nt
Filed under: Deinococcota bacterium
Lineage: Bacteria; Thermotogati; Deinococcota
Also listed under: 2 other names
Description: tRNA-Gly
Rfam family: tRNA
About the family: Transfer RNA (tRNA) molecules are approximately 80 nucleotides in length. Their secondary structure includes four short double-helical elements and three loops (D, anti-codon, and T loops).
Source: RNAcentral